UAUUUUACAAUUGUUAUAAUAAAAUAAACAACGAAGAUAUUGAAAAUGUUGAGCUUGAUAAUCAAAAAUAGCCUUUUUAAUUGUAUUUCUAGUAAAACCUUUAAAAUGUGGAUUAUACACAAUUUGAAUAUAAUGAAUAAAACCGGGAUUUUCAGCAAAACUAAAUGGCAAACCCAUAACAACAAUCAUUUUAGCUAAUUCUUCAAGAUCUUUUUCUCUACUAUAUGACCGUUGUAUACUAGAACCAGAAACAUUAGAAGGAUUUAAUUGUGUUUGGACCAUAUUAGAGCCCUCUACUCCUACAUUUUCAGGAAGGGUGGUACCAUUUUUUUUUAGCUUCGGCUACAGCUUUAGCAUGCAAAAAUUCAUUUUUACAACAUGACAUUAAAUGAUUACUCAAAUGUCCCGUCCCACCCUGUUUUCCUACAGUUUUAUGAUUCAUUAUAUGUUUACAUUUAUUACAAAUAGCUUGUGUUUUAUCUUCAUUCUGAGUCAUAAAUUGCCACACAACUGAUUUUUUAGCGCGUUCUACCUUAGUCCUAGGAUGCACGGGGGGAUUGGGAGCAGGACAACGAAAGGGAGCAGGAGUCGGGGAAGAGGGAUUGGGAGUGGGACUAGUAGCCGACGGUGGCUCAGUUUCAUCAUCAUCAUAUUCAUCAACAUUAUUAUCAAAACUAUCAACAUAAGCAUUAACAUCAUCAUGUUCAUCAUCUUCAGGUAAUUCCUCUUCAAAAUUACCAAAUCUUCUUUGUAAAUGUUCAUGAUAAGGAUCUAAUCCACUAUUACUAUCAAUAUUAAAAACAGUUUCAUCAACAUGCGUAUAAUCAUCUGUAUUUAUUCUUAAUUGAGAA
This 851-nucleotide long non-coding RNA is filed under the name Solanum tuberosum (potato). RNAcentral's name for it is "long non-coding RNA (STUB_LNC003620)". The record is from RNAcentral. Lineage: Eukaryota; Viridiplantae; Streptophyta; Magnoliopsida; Solanales; Solanaceae.